RNAcentral lists this long non-coding RNA (203 nucleotides) under Olea europaea (common olive). RNAcentral's name for it is "long non-coding RNA (OEUR_LNC004217)". Lineage: Eukaryota; Viridiplantae; Streptophyta; Magnoliopsida; Lamiales; Oleaceae. The record is from RNAcentral.
CCAAGUCCAAGUAUGGUCAUUCAUGUAAUGCGUGGACUUUAAUGAAGUAAAAAUUGAAAGAAUUUUUGAACCCCAAAUAAUAGUCCCUGAAGUCCAAGUGUAGAUAUUUAUAUCAGAGUUGGAAUUAGAAAUGUGUUGCCGUGGGUGAACGAUGAAGAGACCGAGGCUGUGUUGAUGUUGAAUGAGGAGCCGAGGUGGUUGGG